This 198-nucleotide ribosomal RNA is filed under the name uncultured Weissella sp. Its description in RNAcentral is "partial 16S ribosomal RNA". It matches the Rfam family "Bacterial small subunit ribosomal RNA", at positions 335 to 525 of the family's 1533-position model. The record is from RNAcentral. Lineage: Bacteria; Bacillati; Bacillota; Bacilli; Lactobacillales; Lactobacillaceae.
ACUCCUACGGGAGGCAGCAGUAGGGAAUCUUCCACAAUGGACGAAAGUCUGAUGGAGCAACGCCGCGUGUGUGAUGAAGGGUUUCGGCUCGUAAAACACUGUUGUAAGAGAAGAAUGACAUUGAGAGUAACUGUUCAGUGUGUGACGGUAUCUUACCAGAAAGGAACGGCUAAAUACGUGCCAGCAGCCGCGGUAAUA